Molecule: ribosomal RNA, 253 nt
Filed under: uncultured bacterium
Lineage: Bacteria
Description: partial 16S ribosomal RNA
Rfam family: Bacterial small subunit ribosomal RNA
Source: RNAcentral
UACGUAGGGUGCGUGCGUUAAUCGGAAUUACUGGGCGUAAAGCGUGCGCAGGCGGUCCUCCAAGUCCGUUGUGAAAUCCCCGGGCUCAACCUGGGAAUUGCAUCUGUGACUGCAUCGCUAGAGUACGGUAGAGGGGGAUGGAAUUCCGCGUGUAGCAGUGAAAUGCGUAGAUAUGCGGAGGAACACCGAUGGCGAAGGCAAUCCCCUGGACCUGUACUGACGCUCAUGCACGAAAGCGUGGGGAGCAAACAGG